UACGUAGGGUGCGAGCGUUGUCCGGAAUUAUUGGGCGUAAAGAGCUCGUAGGCGGCCUGUUGCGUCCGCUGUGAAAGCCCGGGGCUUAACCCCGGGUCGGCAGUGGAUACGGGCAGGCUAGAGGUAGGUAGGGGAGAAUGGAAUUCCCGGUGUAGCGGUGAAAUGCGCAGAUAUCGGGAGGAACACCGGUGGCGAAGGCGGUUCUCUGGGCCUUACCUGACGCUGAGGAGCGAAAGCGUGGGGGAGCGAACAGG
RNAcentral lists this ribosomal RNA (254 nucleotides) under uncultured bacterium. RNAcentral's name for it is "partial 16S ribosomal RNA". It matches the Rfam family "Bacterial small subunit ribosomal RNA", at positions 524 to 776 of the family's 1533-position model. The record is from RNAcentral.